Molecule: long non-coding RNA, 614 nt
Organism: Neogale vison (American mink)
Lineage: Eukaryota; Metazoa; Chordata; Mammalia; Carnivora; Mustelidae
Exons: 5
Source: RefSeq, a predicted model, not a curated record
UUGAGGGAAGAAGACCCUUCCUCUUUCCUUCAGUGGCUGAGACCAUUGAGCUGAAGUCGACUUCUCUGCAGUCUUAAGUUAUUCCAGACGGUGGAUUGAAUGAUUUUCUCGCCUUACCUUCCUCAGAUGUGGAGGCCCGGCAGCGGCCGUGGCUGGCACGGUGCACAUGGCAACCAAAGUCUGCUGCAGAAGUUUUCUUGGCGUAUUAAAAUUUGCCCACAAGAGAGUUUACCGGAAAAGGAAUCCUCAAGACCUGUUUGGGAAGAGGAAUUGUUGGAUCAAAGGACAUUGUGCAUCCAUCCAAAAAAAUGAAAUCUUCCAUUUGCAAUGAUGUGGAUGGAAUAGAAGUUAGAAGGAGAUGUGCCUAUGGAAAGAUGAUCAGAGAUGUACUCUUGCUGGCUUUGAAGAGGAAGGAGAGAGACUCGGAGCCAUGGAAUGUAGGCAGCCUUUAGAAACUGCAAAAGGGAAAGAAAUGGAUUUGCCUCUAAAUCCUCCAGAAAGAGGCACAGAAUUGACAGCACCUUGAUUUUAGCCCAGUGAGACAAAUGUUGGACUUGUGACCCACAGACUGUAACUUCAUGUUGAUUUACCCCACUAAGUUUGUGGUAAUUUGU